Molecule: ribosomal RNA, 314 nt
Filed under: uncultured eukaryote
Lineage: Eukaryota
Description: partial 18S ribosomal RNA
Rfam family: Eukaryotic small subunit ribosomal RNA
Source: RNAcentral
CCCCUAGAUGUUCUGGGCCGCACGCGCGCUACACUGAACAGUUCAACAAGUCUUAACCUUGGCCGACAGGCCCGGGCAAUCUUUGAACGCUGGUCGUGAUGGGGAUAGACUUUUGCAAUUUUUGGUCUUCAACGAGGAAUUCCUAGUAAACGCAAGUCAUCAACUUGCAUUGAUUACGUCCCUGCCCUUUGUACACACCGCCCGUCGCACCUACCGAUUGAAUGGUCCGGUGAAGCCUCCGGAUUGGCGCGCACCUCGGUGCCGCCGAGAAGUUGGCUAAACCUUACCAUUUAGAGGAAGGUGAGGUCGUAACA